This 434-nucleotide ribosomal RNA is filed under the name Chromodoris magnifica. RNAcentral describes it as "partial 16S ribosomal RNA". It matches the Rfam family "Bacterial large subunit ribosomal RNA", at positions 1817 to 2597 of the family's 2925-position model. Lineage: Eukaryota; Metazoa; Mollusca; Gastropoda; Nudibranchia; Chromodorididae. The record is from RNAcentral.
AGCCUUUGGAAAGGAUUAAAGGUUAUACCUGCCCAAUGUUAUAUUAAUGGCCGCGGUACUUUGACCGUGCUAAGGUAGCACAAUCAAUUGGCCCUUAAUUAGGGUCAGGUAUGAAUGGAGUUACGGGGCUUAGCUGUCUCUAGACUAUUUAAUUGAAGUUGCUAUACAGGUGAAAAAGCCUGUAUUAAGAAAAAAGACGAGAAGACCCUUAGAGUUUCACUUAAAAAAGAGUUAUUUCUUCACUAGUUUUGUUGGGGCAACAUAGGAGAAGAACUAAACCUCCUAAAGGAUAUAAACCGAUGUUUUUAAAUGUGAAUAAACUACCUUAGGGAUAACAGCAUAAUUUUAAAAAUAAGUUUGUGACCUCGAUGUUGGACUAGGAAACUUAAGGGCUAGCCGCCUUUUGGUAAGGUUCUGUUCGAACUAUAAUUCCU